This 253-nucleotide ribosomal RNA is filed under the name uncultured bacterium. RNAcentral's name for it is "partial 16S ribosomal RNA". It matches the Rfam family "Bacterial small subunit ribosomal RNA", at positions 524 to 776 of the family's 1533-position model. The record is from RNAcentral.
UACGUAGGUGACAAGCGUUGUCCGGAUUUACUGGGCGUAAAGAGCGCGCAGGCGGUCGAUCAAGUCGAGUGUGAAAGCCCCCGGCUCAACUGGGGAGGGUCAUUCGAUACUGAUCGACUCGAAGGCAGGAGAGGGUAGUGGAAUUCCCGGUGUAGUGGUGAAAUGCGUAGAUAUCGGGAGGAACACCAAUGGCGAAGGCAGCACUCUGGGACGUGACUGACGCUGAGACGCGAAAGCGUGGGGAGCAAACAGG